RNAcentral lists this ribosomal RNA (497 nucleotides) under uncultured bacterium. Its description in RNAcentral is "partial 16S ribosomal RNA". It matches the Rfam family "Bacterial small subunit ribosomal RNA", at positions 28 to 507 of the family's 1533-position model. The record is from RNAcentral.
GAUGAACGCUGGCGGCGUGCCUAAUACAUGCAAGUCGAGCGAACGGACGAGAAGCUUGCUUCUCUGAUGUUAGCGGCGGACGGGUGAGUAACACGUGGAUAACCUACCUAUAAGACUGGGAUAACUUCGGGAAACCGGAGCUAAUACCGGAUAAUAUUUUGAACCGCAUGGUUCAAAAGUGAAAGACGGUCUUGCUGUCACUUAUAGAUGGAUCCGCGCUGCAUUAGCUAGUUGGUAAGGUAACGGCUUACCAAGGCUACGAUGCAUAGCCGACCUGAGAGGGUGAUAGGCCACACGGGAACUGAGACACGGUCCAGACUACUACGGGAGGCAGCAGUAGGGAAUCUUCCGCAAUGGGCGAAAGCCUGACGGAGCAACGCCGCGUGAGUGAUGAAGGUCUUCGGAGCGUAAAACUCUGUUAUUAGGGAAGAACAUAUGUGUAAGUAACUGUGCACAGCUUGACGGUACCUAAUCAGAAAGCCACGGCUAACUACGUG